GACGUAGGGCGCGAGCGUUGUCCGGAUUUAUUGGGCGUAAAGAGCUCGUAGGCGGCUCGUUGCGUCGGCUGUGAAAACCCGCAGCUCAACUGUGGGCUUGCAGCUGAUACGGGCGGGCUGGAGUUCGGUAGGGGGGACUGGAAUUCCUGGUGUAGCGGUGAAAUGCGCAGAUAUCAGGAGGAACACCGGUGGCGAAGGCGGGUCUCUGGGCCGAUACUGACGCUGAGGAGCGAAAGCGUGGGGAGCGAACAGG
Molecule: ribosomal RNA, 253 nt
Filed under: uncultured bacterium
Lineage: Bacteria
Description: partial 16S ribosomal RNA
Rfam family: Bacterial small subunit ribosomal RNA
Source: RNAcentral